GUGCCAGCCGCCGCGGUAAUACGUAGGGUGCGAGCGUUAAUCGGAAUUACUGGGCGUAAAGCGUGCGCAGGCGGUGAUGUAAGACAGUCGUGAAAUCCCCGGGCUCAACCUGGGAAUUGCGAUUGUGACUGCAUCGCUGGAGUGCGGCAGAGGGGGAUGGAAUUCCGCGUGUAGCAGUGAAAUGCGUAGAUAUGCGGAGGAACACCGAUGGCGAAGGCAAUCCCCUGGGCCUGCACUGACGCUCAUGCACGAAAGCGUGGGGAGCAAACAGGAUUAGAUACCCGUGUAGUCC
This 292-nucleotide ribosomal RNA is filed under the name uncultured bacterium. RNAcentral describes it as "partial 16S ribosomal RNA". It matches the Rfam family "Bacterial small subunit ribosomal RNA", at positions 505 to 796 of the family's 1533-position model. The record is from RNAcentral.